RNAcentral lists this ribosomal RNA (947 nucleotides) under Arthrobacter halodurans. Its description in RNAcentral is "bacterial SSU rRNA". It matches the Rfam family "Bacterial small subunit ribosomal RNA", at positions 34 to 989 of the family's 1533-position model. Lineage: Bacteria; Bacillati; Actinomycetota; Actinomycetes; Micrococcales; Micrococcaceae. The record is from RNAcentral.
CGCUGGCGGCGUGCUUAACACAUGCAAGUCGAACGAUGAGGCCCAGCUUGCUGGGCCGAUUAGUGGCGAACGGGUGAGUAACACGUGAGUAACCUGCCCCCGACUCUGGGAUAAGCCCGGGAAACUGGGUCUAAUACCGGAUAUUCUCCCUCCGCCGCAUGGCGGGGGGUGGAAAGCGGUUUAGCGGUCGGGGAUGGACUCGCGGCCUAUCAGCUUGUUGGCGGGGUAACGGCCCACCAAGGCGACGACGGGUAGCCGGCCUGAGAGGGUGACCGGCCACACUGGGACUGAGACACGGCCCAGACUCCUACGGGAGGCAGCAGUGGGGAAUAUUGCACAAUGGGCGAAAGCCUGAUGCAGCGACGCCGCGUGAGGGAUGACGGCCUUCGGGUUGUAAACCUCUUUCAGUAGGGAAGAAGCGAAAGUGACGGUACCUGCAGAAGAAGCGCCGGCUAACUACGUGCCAGCAGCCGCGGUAAUACGUAGGGCGCAAGCGUUAUCCGGAAUUAUUGGGCGUAAAGAGCUCGUAGGCGGUUUGUCGCGUCUGCCGUGAAAGUCCGGGGCUCAACCCCGGAUCUGCGGUGGGUACGGGCAGACUAGAGUGAUGUAGGGGAGACUGGAAUUCCUGGUGUAGCGGUGAAAUGCGCAGAUAUCAGGAGGAACACCGAUGGCGAAGGCAGGUCUCUGGGCAUUAACUGACGCUGAGGAGCGAAAGCAUGGGGAGCGAACAGGAUUAGAUACCCUGGUAGUCCAUGCCGUAAACGUUGGGCACUAGGUGUGGGGGACAUUCCACGUUUUCCGCGCCGUAGCUAACGCAUUAAGUGCCCCGCCUGGGGAGUACGGCCGCAAGGCUAAAACUCAAAGGAAUUGACGGGGGCCCGCACAAGCGGCGGAGCAUGCGGAUUAAUUCGAUGCAACGCGAAGAACCUUACCAAGGCUUGACAUGG